CCUUUGAAUUCUUGGUAUUUCUACGAUUGUAUAAUGAUCCUGGGUGCAUUCUCUGCCUGUGAUUCUCCCUUUGCAGGUCAGGGGACUGGACCUCAUGCUGCAGGCUCAGGGCAGCUGUCUGUUGCUUCCUCUCAUCUCUAGCUGGUAUCGGGACAAUUGCUGCCACGUUUGUUUCUUGUUCAGGACCCGUUUUAAAGAAGGGAUGGCAUACUUCUUCUGAGGGCAGGGGAAGAUUUCUUCUCAACAUGUUUUCAGAAAACAUUUAUAUUAACACAAACUUCAAAAAUAAAUUUGAUUCCUCAGACCUCAAUGCUGACUCUCCUCCAGCUCCUCAAAAGAAGACCACGACUCAUGAAAGCUGUCACAGAUUCUCCAAGGUCCUCCUCACCUCAUUCACAGUCUAUUUCCUGCUGUUGACAACCUUGUUCUCUGUUGCUCUGAUCACUUUGUUUAAAAAAUAUUCUCAGCUUCUUGAUGAAAAAGCAAUCAUAAAAGAACUGAAUUACACCGAAUUAGAGUGUACAAAACAGAAUUUAUUCUUGAAAGACAAAGUCUGGAGCUGUUGCCCAAAGGACUGGAAGCCAUUUAGUUCCCACUGCUACUUCACUGUGACUGACUCAGCAUCUUGGGAAGAGAGUGAGGAGAAGUGCUCCAGCAUGGGUGCUCAUCUGAUGGUGAUCCACAGCCAGGAAGAGCAGGAUUUUAUCUCCAAGAUCCUGGAUCCUAAAGCUGCUUAUUAUAUUGGGCUUUCAGAUCCAGGUCACCGACAGUGGCGAUGGGUUGAUCAGACACCAUACAAUGAAAGUGCCACGUUCUGGCACCCAGGUGAGCCCAGCAGCGACAACGAACAAUGUGUUAUAGUAAGUCAUCCAUAUUCUAGUUGGGGCUGGAAUGACGUCCCUUGCAGUGGUAAACAGAAGUCAGUUUGUCAGAUGAACGAAAUAUACCUAUGAAUCAAGCUUUCUCCGUAGACAUGGAUUGUAUUUUUAUCCAGCACUACAUGGACACCUGGAAAGAUCUUCUUGGGGAAGAGAUGUCCAUAGAUAUUUAGCUCCUCAAAAGAAGACCAUGACUCAUGAAAGUUGUUACAGAUUCCCCAAGGUCCUCCUCACCUCAUUCACAGUCUGUUUCCUGCUGUUGACAAUCUUAUUCUCCAUUGCUCUGAUCAGUAAGUAUAAUAAUGGGACAAGUAAACAAGAGAAGGAAAGGGAACCAUCAGACAGAUGGUGACGCAGAAACCUGAGACAGACACUUUCUGGGGAAUUGGAUACAUUGGGAAUUUCCCUCUGGUUCAGAAUAACUCUUCUGUAAAAGUCAUUCAUUCUCACUAGAGAAGCAUGUGUGUGUUUUUGGUGUCACAGAGUGAAAUACUGGGGCAGCUGUGUUAGGCUCUAGUACUGAAGAUGAAUCUGUAUUUUCUCAUCAGCAGCAUUUAGAGGUCAGAUCCAUUGGAUGCACAGAUAUUUGUAAUUUGGAAUAAGCAGGGUGAUGAGAAGAGAUGGCCAGAGCUAUUCCAGGGACUGUGCUUCAGUGGAGUUCCUUCUAAUCAUUUAUUUUUUUUUUUUGCUCCAGAUUGUGUGAGACCUGGAAGCUAAUUUAGAAAAUAGUGGAUUUCUUUGUAGA
Molecule: RNA transcript, 1623 nt
Organism: Peromyscus californicus insignis
Lineage: Eukaryota; Metazoa; Chordata; Mammalia; Rodentia; Cricetidae
Gene name: C-type lectin domain family 4 member A-like
Exons: 7
Source: RefSeq, a predicted model, not a curated record